CUCCUACGGGAGGCAGCAGUGGGGAAUCUUGGACAAUGGGCGCAAGCCUGAUCCAGCCAUGCCGCGUGAGUGAAGCAGGCCCUAGGGUCGUAAAGCUCUUUCAACUGUGAAGAUAAUGACGGUAGCAGUAGAAGAAACCCCGGCUAACUCCGUGCCAGCAGCCGCGGUAAUACGGAGGGGGUUAGCGUUGUUCGCAAUUACUGGGCGUCAAGCGCGCGUAGGCGGAUUAGUAAGUCAGAGGUGAAAUCCCAGGGCUCAACCCUGGAACUGCCUUUGAUACUGCUAGUCUUGAGGUCGAGAGAGGUGAGUGGAAUUCCAAGUGUAGAGGUGAAAUUCGUAGAUAUUUGGAGGAACACCAGUGGCGAAGGCGGCUCACUGGCUCGAUUCUGACGAUGAGGUGAGAAAG
This 406-nucleotide ribosomal RNA is filed under the name uncultured Alphaproteobacteria bacterium. Its description in RNAcentral is "bacterial SSU rRNA". It matches the Rfam family "Bacterial small subunit ribosomal RNA", at positions 336 to 759 of the family's 1533-position model. Lineage: Bacteria; Pseudomonadati; Pseudomonadota; Alphaproteobacteria. The record is from RNAcentral.